UACGUAGGGUGCAAGCGUUAAUCGGAAUUACUGGGCGUAAAGCGUGCGCAGGCGGUUUUGUAAGUCUGUCGUGAAAUCCCCGGGCUCAACCUGGGAAUUGCGAUGGAGACUGCAAGGCUAGAAUCUGGCAGAGGGGGGUAGAAUUCCACGUGUAGCAGUGAAAUGCGUAGAGAUGUGGAGGAACACCGAUGGCGAAGGCAGCCCCCUGGGUCAAGAUUGACGCUCGUGCACGAAAGCGUGGGGAGCAAACAGGAUUAGAAACCCAGUAGUCC
This 272-nucleotide ribosomal RNA is filed under the name uncultured bacterium. RNAcentral describes it as "partial 16S ribosomal RNA". It matches the Rfam family "Bacterial small subunit ribosomal RNA", at positions 524 to 796 of the family's 1533-position model. The record is from RNAcentral.